CACACCGCCCGUCACACCAUGGAAGCCAGCUGUACCGGAAGUCGGUGCGCUAACCCCGCAAGGGGGGCGCUUGCCACGGUGUGGCCGAUGACUGGGGUG
This 99-nucleotide ribosomal RNA is filed under the name uncultured bacterium. RNAcentral describes it as "partial 16S ribosomal RNA". The record is from RNAcentral.